GUGACUGCGGAGGACAUUAUCGUACAAAAUGUGUGAGGCAUGUGACGGCUGUCGCCGACUCNAAAAGUUGUGCACGCCGGAGGGUGUCCUCUCACAUAAUAAUCCAUCUCACCCUUUGUGCAUCACCGCGUGGGCACCCCUUUGGGAUCGGACCGAUCUCGGAAGG
Molecule: unclassified non-coding RNA, 166 nt
Filed under: uncultured fungus
Lineage: Eukaryota; Fungi
Description: sequence contains ITS1
Source: RNAcentral